RNAcentral lists this long non-coding RNA (210 nucleotides) under Elaeis guineensis (African oil palm). RNAcentral's name for it is "long non-coding RNA (EGUI_LNC060680)". The record is from RNAcentral. Lineage: Eukaryota; Viridiplantae; Streptophyta; Magnoliopsida; Arecales; Arecaceae.
GUAAGUAGAUGUUAGGCUUGUCACAGUCUAGGUGCAUGGAUUUUAUGUUGAAGGGGUUCAACAUGAAUGGGUGUAAAAGAGUUUACUUACCUAUAUAUUCAAUGUGCCAAGCCUGAUGUAAUUUAUGCCUUGUGCAUGAUCAUUGAUUUCAGGUAAAUCUAUGAUGGGAUCUUUUGAAAAUGAUGAAAAAUAUUUUCAAAAUACUUGAGA